GAUGUUGAAAGAAGAAAUAUUAAAUCUUAAGACACAUAUGGAAAACAAUAUGGUAGAACUUAGUAAACUACAAGAAUAUAAAUCGGAGCUAGAUGAAAAGGCAAUGCAGGCAGUAGAAAAAUUAGUAGAAAUCCACUUACAGGAACGAGCACAAUAUGAAAAACAAUUAGAGCAGUUAAACAAGGAUAAUAUGGCUUCACUAAGUAAGAAGGAACUCACACUUAAAGAUGUGGAAUGUAAAUUCUCAGAAAUGAAAACUGCUUAUGAAGAGGUUACAACCGAAUUAGAAGAAUAUAAUAAGGAAGCCUUUGCAGCAGCAUUGAAAGAUAACAAUUCCAUGUCAAAAAAAUUAAUGAAAUCGAAUAAGAAAAUAGCAACGAUCAGCAUGGAGCUCCUUAUGGAGAAAGAGCGGAUGAAAUAUUUUCUCAGCACUCUUCCUACAAGGCGAGACCCAGAGUCACCUUGUGUUGAAAAUCUUACUAGUAUAGGACUCAACAGAAAAUAUAUUCUCCAAACACCCAUAAGAAUUCCUAUUUCAAGCCCACAGACUUCAAAUAACUUCAAGAACUCCUUGACUGCGAUGGAGCCGGACUAUGUAGAACAGAUAACUAGAGAAACAAAGAGAACUGUUGCUGUGUUGGACACUUGCUCCCAUCUACUUACUUCUCUAUAAUCCACUGCCAUGGAAUGAGUGAUUUUUCUUAGAAGCAGAGGUGGAGCCACUGAGGAAGCACAGGCCAGCCCUCCCCAGCACAUACUCACUGGUCCCCAACAGAAGAACCGCUGCCGCCUCCAUGAGGCUCCCAUUGUGGUGGGUUGUGUCACCCCACAAUGUCACUGUUGCUAAGCCCCCAUCGCCUCUGUGUUGUGGAGCAGUUAGAGACACACAGCCGUGUCUGUGAGUGGCUCUGCGUGAAGGACCAUUUUCUAGGUGAGAGGCACAUCUCAACACAGCUGACUGAUCAGACUCAGCUGCUUCCUGCUCCCUCCAUGGACCUGCACAGAAUUGUCCCAUGUUUCUGUUUGUUUGGGCACCACUGAGGAAGGAAGCAUGAAGGACGCAGAGCCAUUUUGCAAACCCUGGUCAGAAUGAAACAUUCCUUGGGAACUCGGGCCAUGAGAAGCAUCCUUCCUGACCACCUGACUGCGGAAACAUCCUUAUCGCAUCCUCCCGGGCGAAGGCCCAACAGCCUGACUGCAGGAACAUCCUUGCCAUAUCCUGCCGGGCAGCAAGCUCUACCGCCCAGACCCCUCCUUCCCAGUCCCAUGAUCGCCCCAGCCUGUGAGCGGCAGUUGGUGAUGGCACUAAGCUGAUUUCCUCCUCUGCAGGGUUUUGCUAGUAAUAAAGGUGUUGCUGUUGAAGCCACCAA
Molecule: long non-coding RNA, 1370 nt
Filed under: Homo sapiens (human)
Lineage: Eukaryota; Metazoa; Chordata; Mammalia; Primates; Hominidae
Description: family with sequence similarity 95 member A
Source: RNAcentral